UACGUAGGCAGCGAGCGUUGUCCGGAAUCAUUGGGCGUAAAGAGCGUGUAGGCGGCUCGAUAAGUCUGCUGUGAAAGUCCAGGGCUCAACCCUGGAAGGCCGGUGGAAACUGUCGGGCUAGAGUCCGGAAGAGGCGAGUGGAAUUCCCGGUGUAGCGGUGAAAUGCGCAGAUAUCGGGAGGAACACCAAUGGCGAAGGCAGCUCGCUGGGACGGUACUGACGCUGAGACGCGAAAGCGUGGGGAGCAAACAGG
RNAcentral lists this ribosomal RNA (253 nucleotides) under uncultured bacterium. RNAcentral's name for it is "partial 16S ribosomal RNA". It matches the Rfam family "Bacterial small subunit ribosomal RNA", at positions 524 to 776 of the family's 1533-position model. The record is from RNAcentral.